RNAcentral lists this ribosomal RNA (305 nucleotides) under uncultured bacterium. Its description in RNAcentral is "partial 16S ribosomal RNA". It matches the Rfam family "Bacterial small subunit ribosomal RNA", at positions 508 to 807 of the family's 1533-position model. The record is from RNAcentral.
ACAGCAGUCGCCGCGGUAACACGUAGGGUGCAAGCGUUAAUCGGAAUUACUGGGCGUAAAGCGUGCGCAGGCGGUUAUAUAAGACAGAUGUGAAAUCCCCGGGCUCAACCUGGGAACUGCAUUUGUGACUGUAUAGCUAGAGUACGGCAGAGGGGGAUGGAAUUCCGCGUGUAGCAGUGAAAUGCGUAGAUAUGCGGAGGAACACCGAUGGCGAAGGCAAUCCCCUGGGCCUGUACUGACGCUCAUGCACGAAAGCGUGGGGAGCAAACAGGAUUAGAUACCCCAGUAGUCCCUGUCUCUUAUAC